UACGUAUGGGGCAAGCGUUAUCCGGAUUUACUGGGUGUAAAGGGAGCGUAGGCGGCCUGGCAAGCCUGAUGUGAAAUACCGGGGCCCAACCCCGGGGCUGCAUUGGGAACUGCCAGGCUGGAGUGCCGGAGAGGCAGGCGGAAUUCCUAGUGUAGCGGUGAAAUGCGUAGAUAUUAGGAGGAACACCAGUGGCGAAGGCGGCCUACUGGACGGUGACUGACGCUGAGGCUCGAAAGCGUGGGGAGCAAACAGG
Molecule: ribosomal RNA, 253 nt
Filed under: uncultured bacterium
Lineage: Bacteria
Description: partial 16S ribosomal RNA
Rfam family: Bacterial small subunit ribosomal RNA
Source: RNAcentral